AUCUACAGCCAUACCACCCUGAACAUGCCUGAUCUUGUCUGAUCGUGGAAGCUAAGCAGGGUCAGGCUUGGUUAGUACUUAGGGGAUCAGGAAAGGGUGCUCUGAUUU
Molecule: ribosomal RNA, 108 nt
Filed under: Camelus ferus (Wild Bactrian camel)
Lineage: Eukaryota; Metazoa; Chordata; Mammalia; Artiodactyla; Camelidae
Source: RNAcentral